UAUGUCUAGGUAGGUUAAUAAACACAAACCGUCAGUGUUUGUAUGGGUUAGAAGGAGCGUGGAAGUGUCUACACCUUUAGUGAACGUCUACCGUUAUGUUGCCGUUGUGAAACAGUUACCAUUCACGUUCGGUUUCCGUAUUUGCUGGAUACACACAUAUUUCGAACGGCGUCAAUACAAAACACCCUCCAGCAAUGUCUGGGUCGGACAUCAAAUUAUUCUGCGCCGAAACAGUGAAGAGCUGCACAAAUUUCAUCUAUCUCUUCGGUUUGAAUUUCUUCUUUGGAUGCAUAAUAUUCAUCAUGAUUGUCAAGCACAUGCUCGAAAAUAUCAACAUAGAAAACGGAAGAAACUAUUACAGAUGUGCAAUGUUUUAAGGACGCAAGCAACAAGACUGAUGGAUUGUUUAUUUAAUCCUGUUACAUUUUAUAAAACUUAUACCAAUGCAUUAUUACCUGAUUUCAAUUAGUUUUUCUAUUUGUUAGACUUGAAGUACCUAUUACUAUGUUUAUUUUAGAUGUAUUUGUAUCAAAGUAUAUUUAUUAUUGUGAUAUUUCAACUAAAUAAAUAGUAAAUGAACAA
Long non-coding RNA from Aethina tumida (small hive beetle), 582 nucleotides. RefSeq lists it as uncharacterized. The record is from RefSeq and is a predicted model, not a curated record. The transcript has 2 exons. Lineage: Eukaryota; Metazoa; Arthropoda; Insecta; Coleoptera; Nitidulidae.